This is a small nucleolar RNA of Rattus norvegicus (Norway rat), 144 nucleotides long. Ensembl annotates it as small nucleolar RNA SNORA48. NCBI's taxonomy places the organism in Eukaryota, Metazoa, Chordata, Mammalia, Rodentia, Muridae. The record is from Ensembl.
AACCUGUGGCAAUGGACAAAGGGACACCUUGUUGGUGGCGGUGUUCUAAUAUCAGUCAGAGACAGAGCAGACGGCAGUCCUUUGUUCAUCCUAGCGUGAUGUCUGGCUCGGUGGCCUAAGCUGUUUUAUGCCUAGGAGACCUAA